GUACCGUAAUCCGGUGCGGGGACAGUGUCAGGUGGGCAGUUUGACUGGGGCGGUCGCCUCCUAAAGAGUAACGGAGGCGCCCAAAGGUUCCCUCAGAAUGGUUGGAAAUCAUUCGAAGAGUGCAAAGGCAUAAGGGAGCUUGACUGCGAGACCUACAAGUCGAGCAGGGACGAAAGUCGGGCUUAGUGAUCCGGUGGUACCGCAUGGAAGGGCCAUCGCUCAACGGAUAAAAGCUACCCUGGGGAUAACAGGCUUAUCUCCCCCAAGAGUCCACAUCGACGGGGAGGUUUGGCACCUCGAUGUCGGCUCAUCGCAUCCUGGGGCUGAAGUAGGUCCCAAGGGUUGGGCUGUUCGCCCAUUAAAGCGGUACGCGAGCUGGGUUCAGAACGUCGUGAGACAGUUCGGUCCCUAUCUGUCGUGGGCGUAGGAAAUUUGAGAGGAGCUGUCCUUAGUACGAGAGGACCGGGAUGGACGUACCGCUGGUGUACCAGUUGUUCCGCCAGGAGCACCGCUGGGUAGCUAUGUACGGAAGGGAUAAACGCUGAAAGCAUCUAAGCGUGAAGCCCCCCUCAAGAUGAGAUUUCCCAGUAUGUAAGACCCCUUGAAGACGACGAGGUAGAUAGGCUGGGGGUGGAAGUGCAGCAAUGCAUGGAGCUGACCAGUACUAAUCGGUCGAGGGCUUAUCCAAU
RNAcentral lists this ribosomal RNA (689 nucleotides) under Subtercola boreus. RNAcentral's name for it is "bacterial LSU rRNA". It matches the Rfam family "Bacterial large subunit ribosomal RNA", at positions 2230 to 2925 of the family's 2925-position model. The record is from RNAcentral. Lineage: Bacteria; Bacillati; Actinomycetota; Actinomycetes; Micrococcales; Microbacteriaceae.